UGACGAAUAUUGCACAAUGGGGGCAACCCUGAUGCAGCAACGCCGCGUGAAGGAUGAAGGCUUUCGAGUUGUAAACUUCUUUAGGCAGGGAAGAAUAAAUGACGGUACCUGCAGAAUAAGCCCCGGCUAAAUACGUG
This 137-nucleotide ribosomal RNA is filed under the name uncultured bacterium. RNAcentral's name for it is "partial 16S ribosomal RNA". It matches the Rfam family "Bacterial small subunit ribosomal RNA", at positions 355 to 507 of the family's 1533-position model. The record is from RNAcentral.